RNA transcript from Aegilops tauschii subsp. strangulata, 1130 nucleotides. RefSeq lists it as uncharacterized. The record is from RefSeq and is a predicted model, not a curated record. NCBI's taxonomy places the organism in Eukaryota, Viridiplantae, Streptophyta, Magnoliopsida, Poales, Poaceae.
GUUGCAUGAGGAGAAGAAGGUCAGUGAUUAUCUAUUUGCUUUGGCAUGCUUACCGGAUAAGCGAGUGAGAGUGUAUUUAGCAUGCAUUGCUGAAGGUGUCCGGCACCACACCGUUGACCGCGAGGAAAAAAGGAAGACACAGAAUAGUGGAAUCGUCACUGAGGGGCCACAUGAUCGUGAGAUCAUUGACUUCUAUGGUCAGUUGAGAAGCAUCGUAGAGUUGCAGUACAACUCUAGUAGAGGCAUCCAUCGCUCGGUUGUCUUAUUUCGCCGUGACUGGUUUGAGCUUGGUAGCAAGAAGAAGAGAGACUCUUUUGUCAAAUAUGAUGGCCACUUCAAAAGCAUCAACACUGCAAGGUGCUGGUAUAAGAGUGAUCCCUUUAUUCUAACAACACAAGCAACAAUGGUGUUUUAUCUGCGAGACACUCUUUUGCACGGAAAAUGGCGAGUUGUGCAAAACUUUGAGCACAGACACUUGUGGAGUGUGACUGAAACUGAAGUGGAAAAGGGCCCCGGUGAUGGACUAACAUACCAAGAUGAUGACUCUACGGAAGUUCUGUUGCAAGCGGAUGAUGACUCUAUGGAAGUUCCGGUGCAAAGCAGAGUGCGAAGGGACCGGGAACGUGUGAUCGUUGAUGCUGCAACAGUUGAAGGCAUCAAGAAAAUAAGAAAGGUGGUAGCGGAUGGACACGAGAGCGAGGAUGAGGAAAACAGGACUGAUCAUACUAUGCUGCAAUAUUGUAGUGAUGAUGAGGAAAACAGGAGUGGGCAUAGAGUUCCUUGUUUUCGUAUCGACGACGAUGAGUAGCGAAGGUAGCAAAAUGCAUGAGACUGAUGGUUGUAGUGAUGGAGAGGCAGAUGAUGGUUGAUCAUGAUGUUUCAUGGAAAAUCAUGUAGUUUUGGUGAUCAUGAUGGCUCUAGUGAUGGAGGGGCAAAAUGCAUAGUGGCUCUAGUGAUGUAGUUUUGGUGCCAUUUUCUUAGUUUUGGUCAGAACUGUUAGUUGUGAUGAUCCUGAAGUUGUAAUGCAAAAUGAUGUUGUAAUGAUCCUGAAGUUUUUUGAACUGAAUUGAGAUGUUGUUUUCAGAGCUAUUUUUCAUACUAUUUUCAGAGAUAGUGAUGUUGGUGCAAAA